Molecule: long non-coding RNA, 574 nt
Filed under: Oryza sativa Indica Group (long-grained rice)
Lineage: Eukaryota; Viridiplantae; Streptophyta; Magnoliopsida; Poales; Poaceae
Description: lncRNA OsZS97_04G002810
Source: RNAcentral
AUGGGCCCUUCUAUCACUCAACUUAAGCCACAAGAUCUUCAUGUGGAGAUUGGGGAGGGAAUAGAAAGUUAUGUCAAUGCAGUCAGUCCACAGGUAAUCAACGCUAUAGCAUUUGUGAUGGACUAUGUUGAGUCAUUGCAUACGCAUGACAAUUCUUCAAUCUCCAAAGUUAUCCCUGAAAGACUGACGUUGACAAGAGCAACAGGAAGGUCUCAUCUAAGGAUGUGUCAAGCGGAGAGAUUCUGCAAAUUAGGCACAAUCUUCUCCCCAGAUUAUGUUUUGGAUACCUUCCGAGCACUGGAGGCCUUUUCAGCAUCUGAGCUCAUGAUGGCAACUUUUAUUUGGAGCAGAGGAAGAACAAGUCCUGGUUGGGACAUGGUCUCCUUUGCAAAGCUAUGGAGUAUACACCUGCACUCAUGCCCAAGGCUCAUGUUUGUGCUUCCAUUAUCGUGGCCUGCUCCAGACUCGCACUUGCCUGCCUUAGAGAUCCUUGACAUCAUCUGUUGUAGUGAAUUCAGACAGAUCUUCCCUGUGGAGCCAGUUGCUUUGACCAUAAAUAUCUAACAAAUAUCCA